GCCUACGGGAGGCUGCAGUGGGGAAUAUUGCACAAUGGGCGCAAGCCUGAUGCAGCCAUGCCGCGUGUAUGAAGAAGGCCUUCGGGUUGUAAAGUACUUUCAGCGGGGAGGAAGGCGAUAAGGUUAAUAACCUUGUCGAUUGACGUUACCCGCAGAAGAAGCACCGGCUAACUCCGUGCCAGCAGCCGCGGUAAUACGGAGGGUGCAAGCGUUAAUCGGACUUACUGGGCGUAAAGCGCACGCAGGCGGUCUGUUAAGUCAGAUGUGAAAUCCCCGGGCUCAACCUGGGAACUGCAUUUGAAACUGGCAGGCUUGAGUCUUGUAGAGGGGGGUAGAAUUCCAGGUGUAGCGGUGAAAUGCGUAGAGAUCUGGAGGAAUACCGGUGGCGAAGGCGGCCCCCUGGACAAAGACUGACGCUCAGGUGCGAAAGCGUGGGGAGCAAACAGGAUUAGAUACCCCAGUAGUCC
This 467-nucleotide ribosomal RNA is filed under the name uncultured bacterium. Its description in RNAcentral is "bacterial SSU rRNA". It matches the Rfam family "Bacterial small subunit ribosomal RNA", at positions 337 to 796 of the family's 1533-position model. The record is from RNAcentral.